Molecule: long non-coding RNA, 472 nt
Organism: Beta vulgaris subsp. vulgaris (sugar beet)
Lineage: Eukaryota; Viridiplantae; Streptophyta; Magnoliopsida; Caryophyllales; Amaranthaceae
Exons: 3
Source: RefSeq, a predicted model, not a curated record
UAUGUAUGUAGAAUUUCAAGUUUAGUUUGGUCAAAGUCCCUGCAAUUUGUUCGGUCGACUUUGUUUCACUCGAUUUCAUCCUCAUCUUUCUUUAAUUUCACUUUAAUUGAUUCAUCCUCAAAUUCAGUUAUAGGAUCAAAGCUAUAGGAUCUGAUUUUGAAAAAUGUAGAUGUGAAGUCUAUAAUUGGGCUGAUUUUUGUGCGAUGUCGGCGUCAAGUAUUUCAGGGCACCUAUGGAAGCAAUGAUGAGGAUGGAGAAGAUUCCACUUCUAUAAGGGUGGCUCGACUUUUUUGUGCGUACUAGGUUAUAGCUAUUGGUUCAUAUGGUGAUCCCUUUUUGUUUUGGAACAUGUUAGUUUAUGUUUAAUAGUGUAAGUCUUUGAUGAUAUCAUGUAUAGAUAUUGAAUUAUUGAUGAGGUUAAUAACUUAUUUUGGUUUGGUGAAAUGAUAAACAGUACUUAUGUUGUGACUUA